Molecule: transfer RNA, 73 nt
Organism: Pseudohongiella spirulinae
Lineage: Bacteria; Pseudomonadati; Pseudomonadota; Gammaproteobacteria; Pseudomonadales; Pseudohongiellaceae
Rfam family: tRNA
About the family: Transfer RNA (tRNA) molecules are approximately 80 nucleotides in length. Their secondary structure includes four short double-helical elements and three loops (D, anti-codon, and T loops).
Source: Rfam
GUCCCCUUCGUCUAGAGGCCUAGGACACCGGGUUUUCAUCCCGGCAACAGGGGUUCGAAACCCCUAGGGGACG